Osmia lignaria (orchard mason bee) is the source of this 6322-nucleotide long non-coding RNA. RefSeq lists it as uncharacterized. The record is from RefSeq and is a predicted model, not a curated record. Lineage: Eukaryota; Metazoa; Arthropoda; Insecta; Hymenoptera; Megachilidae.
GAGCCCCCCAAGCUCCAGGGCCCCCAUAAGACAAUUUUGCGUUUAAGAAUGCAAGAAGAGUAAUGUAAAUGCAAAUCGAAAUUAGUUAUACAAACUUUAAUGUUAAUUUUAUAAAUUUUAUUUGAAGUACUUUCUUUUAUGUCAGGGGCCCUUUUUCGAGCUCACCUCGGACCCUCGAAAUCUCAGAGCCGGCCCUGUGGAAAGGCCAUAUUGCAAUUAUUCUAAAUCUAAAAUUGCAAUUAUUAAUGAUGCUUCGAAAGGCAGAGCCGACCCUGGGCCUAGGCCCCCCAAGGUCCAGGGCCCCCAUAUGCCGGUUGCGUCUAAAAAUGCAAGAAUGUUUACUUGAAUAUUAAUCUAAAUUAGUUAUACAAGCUUUAAUGUUAAUUAUAUAAAUUUUAUUUGAAGUACUUUCUUUUAUGUCAGGGGCCCUUUUCCGAGCUCACCUCGGACCCCCGAAACUUCAGAGCCGGCCCUGCUAAGCCAUAUUGCAAUUAUUCUAAAUCCAAAAGUGCAAUUAUUAAUGAUGCUUUGAAAGGCAGGGCUGGCCCUGGGCCUAGGCCCCCAAGGCCCAGGACCCCCAUAAGACGAUUCUACGUCUAAGAAUGCAAUAAGUGUAAUGUUUACUUGAAUAUUAAUCUAAAUUAGUUGUACAAGCUUUAUAAAUUUUAUUUGAGUUACUUUUUUUUUACGUCAGGGCCCCCUUUUCGGAGCUCUCCCCGGACCCCCGAAAUCUCAGGGCCGGCCUUGCCAUUUUAAUUCUGCAAUUCUUAAUUAUAAUACACCCAAUUUGUAUUAUUUCAACUGAGUUACAAAUAAAUCAACAACAAUCAAAGGUUGAUGAUAUUAAAAAUUAUUAAUAAAUUUUCAAUAAAUAAAGCAUUAAAAGAGACAGUACUCCUCCUAGUCUUCCAUUAUUUGUUUGCUGUGUUCUUUGAAAAAAAGUGACUCAAUUUUUCUUUGGGUAGAUAUCUGAUGUCGAAUGUACCCCUUCAAGAAUUGCUGUGACAUUACUGGAAUAGCGAUUGAAGGUAUACUCGAGCGAGAGAUAGGAAAAGUGAACGCUCCGACACUCGAGCCAGGCAUAACGUGGUUCAAGAUUGUACGUACCUAACGUACAAUCUGAAUUACUGCAUAUACGUAGCCUUGUUGUACAUGUAAACCAAGUCUCGAUCGCCUGGUGUUGCUAUGGGGACGUUUCUUUUUUUCUUUCUUCCUUUAUCUCUCCCCCUCUUCUCUGUUCUCGUUCGAUGCUCUUCCUUUCCGUGGAUUUCUUGCGGUUCUCCGAGGAAAUCUAUCUCGUCCGCAAAACGUUUCUGCGUCCAUCACCGAUGCCUAUAGCGCUAGAUCUACCAAGGGGGGUCAAAAUGACUUAUUUGGCAUUUCUUAUAAUCACUAUUCAUUUUCACUACAUUUUGUUUUCUAAAAUAUUAUUUUGUAAUAUUUUUUUUUAUGCAGUAUACCUCCAUACACCGAGAUGGGUCAUUUUGAUCCCCCAUGGAACGUAGGUAAACUUGUGAUUUUGGGGGGAAACUUCCGAAAGGCCCCCCCACCCUAGGACAACCAAACUUCGGAUUUAUAGUAAUUGAGGGACGAGAAAUCGAAUGAGAUCAUUUUCAGAACUGGCAAAUAAACCUUUCUCGAGGUAUACAGAGUAUUCUAAAAGUGUGGGACCCCCCCUAUUAUCUCGAUAAGAACGCAUUUCCACGGAAAAUGACUAUCCUAACCUAACAGUAACCCUAACCUAACCCUAACCUAAACCUAAACUAACCCUAACCUAAACCUAAAUUAACCCUAACCUAAAGUUUCCCCCAAAAUUACCAUAGGAGACAUAAUGACUAAUUAAUUCGAAAAACAAGCCAUUUUGACCCCACACAUCAAUCACCGGUGAUUCUAGGGUUAAGAAGCGCCCGACAAUGAAGAGGAAUCCCUAUAGUUAGCCCUAUGGUUUGAAUAUCUAUCUAAUAAUUCAUUACUUUUGUAACCUUAUAACAUUGAUGUGUAACAUUGGAAUCAUUGUUUCACAGGGUAAGAACCUAUCUCAUUUCAAUGGAGACGCAACGCUUGAUGCGCAAGCGAACGACUUAAGAAUCCUUUUUCAUGAUUGCAAUAAACUUCAAGAGGGCACUUUGACGUCUUGAAAGCCAUUGGAGUUUUAGACUGAACAAUGAUAUUCUUCUGUGGAAAACAUUAGCGGUCUCAGGAGCAUUUGCUGAACAGCUUGUGUAUUGUUCAUACUGUAACCAGGAACAAUGGAUAUUCGCCAGGACAUGUGUCGUACCUUGUGUACACCGGACGUUCCGACCGCUCUGUCAACGUCUGUUAACCACCAGUAUGACAAGAGAGCUAUUUCAGUGAAGUUUUAUUGAUAGAUAGACAAUUUAAGCCUUGCCUAGAUAUUUAUAUGGUCCACCAGAACAUCCCAGGUGCUUCAUGUAUGAUUAGAUAAAAGGAUACGAAGGAUUCCUACUUUACCAUCUUGUGAUUAAAAAAUGAAGGAAAAGGAGAUUUGAAAAAAAAAAAAAAAUCUUUGCAAGUGCGUACGUCCCUGGGAUAUCCAAUUAGCGCAACUAUACUUCUUUCUUUAUUAAAUUUAAAUUCCUUUAUUAUUUUAGAACAUCCCAGGUGAUUUAUGCAUGAUUAGAUAAAAGGAUAUGAAAGUUCCCUGCUUUACCAUCUUGUGAUUGAAAAAUGAAGGAAAAGGAGAUUUGAAGAAAAAGAAAAUAUCGUCGCAAGUGCGUUCGUCCCUGGGAUAUGCAGUUCAUUCACACGGCUGUGUUUCGCUAAAUAUAAUAUGGCGGUGACCCCGGUCCUUCACUGUCGACUCCCCUUCCCCAUCCCUCGAUUCCCCACUCCUCCCUUCAAUGCUUCCCUAAUUCAACGCCUCUGUGAUUACGUCCCUGCCCUCGCAUCCCCUGUCCGGGGUACCGUCCCUACCUUCGACUCCGCUUCUAUUCCCUUCUCUUCCUCUUCUUUUCUCUUUACUUCUGCCUCCUUUCUUUCCACCCCACCGCCACCCGCUUCGCCGGCUAGCUUUCUAUUCUCUGUUCUUGGUUGCCGUGGAAGAAAAACUGACAAUGAGCAAGAAGAGGCUUCUCUGAUCCUCUAUCUUUCUUGAUACUUUUCUGCCUGCUCCAAUUUUAUCGUAUCCCACCAUGAUUGGCAGAGGUGCUUCCCUUAAGACCUUAUCGUUAGAUUUGAUUAGCAGUAUGAUUGCUCUUUUAUUUUUUCUUAUUAUUAGUUUAAGGAGAAAGGAGAAAGUUCCAUAUUCCUCCUAGGUUUUCCCAAAAUUUAAAAUAAGUAGUGGGAGAAAUGAAAGUCCACAUUGGAUCCUAAUGUUUAUAACAAUUGUUAAAAAGAUUACUUUUAAUUGAUAAUGUUUGAUCAGUGGUUCCUAAAGAUACUUUUAUUUCUUAUGGUAGGAAGAGGCCGAGGGUUUUGGGAGAAGAGGAUUGCCAGAGGAUCUCGAGGUGCAGGAAAGAGUGCAGCUUUACGUGUAGCGUACAGAAUUCUGGCUCGACUGCUCCUGCAUCCAGGCCCUUCACCGCCUUUUAGACCUUAAGUUGCAUUCACACUGAACAAUUGAAACAUCUUUGUGCGCUUUGAAAAUUUCAUUUCAAGGUGUUGGCUUUAUCUAAAAGGCUAAAGAAUACUUCCAGGCAGAUAGAUGGAAGGAGCAGAGGCAAUCUAAUCGUAGAGCAUAAUCGGUCAGUUGGAAACGGUGCCUAACAUCCCUUAGGGCCGCGCAAGGAGAGCUGCAGAGGCCAUUCAACUGUCUACGAUCGAGCAGGCAGGGGAUUUUUACAGCGGCCGGAGUCUACCUACUCUCUGAGCUCUCGUAUUCUUCUUGCUCUUCUUCUCUCGCCGUAUCCUCCUCUACUUCUUCCUCUUCUCCUUCUUGUUUUCUUGUACAGCUUCCUUUUUCUAUGCCCUCCUGAUCUCUCUACCCUGCAAUGGCGUGGCGAGUCAGGGACCGUGCGUGAGAAAGUCCAGUCAAAGAUCCUCCAAAUUAUGCUGAAUUUCUAGCCAAUAAUUGCACCGAUCAUUUAGCUGAAGAUGUUCUUCGGUCACGCGUUCGAAGGAAUGAAAUUUUUUAGAACCUUGAGGAUUAAUCAUUCAUUAACACUAGAUUGCCAGGCUCAUAUCCAUCAAAAUAGAUAUAGCACAUAUGGAUUUUUGGUACUAAGGAGUGUACCAUUAAGAACCAACAUAUGUUCCAAAAAAGAUUAUUUCAGUUUUAUAGCACUAAAAUUGUAAAUGAGUCAAAUUCACUCGCUCUGGCAAUCUAAUGUUAAUUGUAUAUUGUAGGAAUCUGAAAAAUUAAUAAAUCAUUGGCAUAACUAGGAUUUCUUUUGAGGUGUGCCAUUUUAGAGUUUGGAAGUAGUAGGAGCAUCCAGGCCCACUCUGUCCCUUACCUAAUUACUCCAAUGAUGAAAAUAUUAAUUACGAAUUUCAUAUCGUUUCUUUUUCUCCAUUUUCAGGUGAAGUAUUCCUGAAAGAUGAGAAAGGAAACGGGAUCAUCAACGAAGCGAAAGCGGUUAUCAGCUAUACUUGAUGAUACUAACCCGUAGAUCCGAACUUGUGGGCUUUUUUAUAUGUAUACCGCAAGCUCCUAUCUACCGGUACAUGUAGUCAGGCCAGCAUUUAAGCUUUUCGACGGAACCUCCUCCUUCUCAUUCGAGCCUCUAUGCAAUCCGCGAGUAGAGGUACUUCCGGUUAUCAAGACUUUUUGCCAAGUAAUAUUCUGAAUAGAAGAGUUACAUCAGGAAGGGGGAGAGAAUGAGACGAUGCGCGAGAGAAUAAGAAUUAAAAAUUUAAGUAUAGUAUACAAAAAUAAAUGUAACACCAUUACGAUACUAGGCGCCCAUACUAGAACAAAGCGAUUGAUUUGCAGUGGGUCACAAUAUAGCAAUUAAAAGUAGUGUUUAAUAAACACUCACAGUGCCCACUAUGAUCGGUUUGCAAAGAAUGGUCCAAAUUGAUAAUCUAGUUUUUUGAGUUAAAAAGUCACCAAAAAAUCCCUAUCAGUCGUUUAAUAGAGGAGCCUCGCUCCAACAACGUUAUUGUUAAUGUUCGAUAGCUGUUAAAAGCAGGAACGGAAGCGAGAAUUAAGAAGAGGAAACGAGCAGCAUUAGCGACGACGCCUGGGUGAGGUAGUAGGUUGUAUAGUAGGGAAUGGAAAUUCGCGUGAUACGAAGUCCACUGUACAACUUGCUAACUUUCCCGGUCGUCGACGCCGCAACGUUUCAUCGGUUCAACGUUUUUAUCUUCAAGAAGAUUCAGAAGAUUCUCUGACGAAGAUACCGAAGUUCUAUUAGUGCGUAACGCGCGUAUUUGCAGUGUGAAUACAGUAUUAAAUAAAGAAGAUGAUCUGCUACCAGAAACGAUGCUUGUAAAAUAAGUUUAUAAUAAGAAGAAAUUAAAGUGGUUGUAUCAAGCAUAAAUUGUUUUAAAAUUGAACAGAUGAUGCCUUUAAAUUAUCUUAAAUAGCUGAAGUGUCAUAGAGGAAUAUAAAAUAAUAAUAGAGACAGUAUAUUGCUUGCAACCAUCUUAAAUUAAUAAAUAAUUUUAUAUUUUCUUUUCUGUUAAAUUGCAAGGAAAUGAAUGGUGGUAGAUCCUCUUAAGACGAGAGUGUGUACUUCUAUACGUCUAUGUGUGCAAUAGGUACACGGGUAAGGGAUGAAAAGGGGUAGAGAAAAUGAAAUGGGCAAUGGCGGGCGGGCUGAUUGUAAAGCCUGCCGCGUCGCCGGUCCCCUGAGACCCUAACUUGUGACGUCGCGACCGAUAUCUCACAGGCUAGAUUCUCUGGUAUUGGCGAUGAGUGCUGCCUUUUGCCGAUCAAAAGUCAGUCCUAGUCAUCAGAGAUAGAAAACGUCCGGAUACGUCGACGCCCUAUAAAAACGAGGAGAGACUCUGACAUUCAAACGUCUACUGCAUGACGCAUCUUGGAAAAACGUAGUUUAUCUGUGAAUAUAUAAUGUACAUCAAUAUUGUAACGCACUGAUGCAACAUUAUUUAUAAAUUUAUUUGUCAACAGCAGUGGCGGUUCGUAGCUAAAAUUAGUGAGAAAAUUUUUUAGCCUUUGUUUUAAAAAACCGGCAUUGCGGGAGCGACCGUGCUCUCUCUCCUGCGCAGCCUAGUACGCAGCUUCCCAUGUGAGCAUGCGCGUGCGCAUGCGCACACGGUCAAACACCACGCCGCUGGAACUAGGAAGCGCAUAGUUACGUACAAAGAUUUUUGUAUCUUUUUCAUAAACUGGGGGAUGGCUACUGACAUUAAGCUUAAGGAUUAUAUAUUGUACAAGUAUAAAGAAAAAAUUAAAAAA